GCACAGUGUAAGAGCAGACAAUUCAUGGAGAACUUCUUGAUGCCUAGUUCCCAUAUACUUGUGGUUUUAAAUGACUUCUUUUUGGUACAGGGAUGCAAACAUACACCAUAGAGUAUGAGAAAGCCCUUAUGAACUCAUGUUCACAUGUGUUUGAUUAAAUUAUUUUUUUUUUAAGAGAAUCCUGCUCAAUACGCAUACCAUAACAGUGCACCAUUUUUCAGUGAGUAACUAGGUCUCAUUCUUUUUCAGAGCCCCAGUCAUCAUGCACCAUUCUUGCAUCCUCACUAGAAUGUCAGCUGUGACUGGGUGGUCCUAUUUGAUGCUUCUAAUCACUAUUUCUGACUAAUUUAUUUGCUUGGUGUUGGACAUGUCGCUGUUUUGCUGUUUUGCUGUUGUUUUUUUUUUUGGGGUGGUGGAUGGCUUGGACAAUAGCACAGUAUAGUAUUUUGAGUACAUCUGUGGUGUCCUGGGCUGAGAGUUGUACCUAUUACUUAUAAAGGUGUGCUGUGUUGUUGCACAGGUCCCCAGGCUUAGUGCUGGUGCUUGCGAGCUAACACAACAGUGCAAUGGUGUGGUGGCUGGUUAACUUAUGUUCACAAGUUUGUUUUAUCCCAUUUAUUGUUAACCUCACUGCUUUUCAUGACAUUUUUAUUUCCUUGGUUUUGCAAAUGCUUUGCUUGGGCUGCAUACUUAGAGCAUGAUGGUCAUGAUGGUGGCUGAAUUCAGUACGCUGAGCUGCAUCCAACCCAUGCUCUAGGACCCCCAUGACAGGGCUGGGAUCCAGCGGAUCCGGCAAUAUGUUGAGUCCGGCCGUCUGGCGGAGCUGAGGCAGCGCCCCAACAUCCAGCCCAAUCUGCAGCUUGAGCGGCAUGCUGCAGGCCAGGGACUACAGCCAGCGACCUCCACUUCCAGGCCUUCCUGAUCGAUGGUCUGGUUAGAUGGAACGCGGAUCGUCACCUGGCGGCGAUCGGACAGGACAGCGCCCGCGAGGUCCGGUGCUACGGACGAGUACAGGGUGCUACGACGGCCGGAUACGGGCAGCCGUCAUCGACCUGUCGCAGAGGGUGCUCAAGAGGGACCUAGUCACCAGAAGCGAGCCUCUUCGAUACACGGGUGAGCUCGUCGGGGUCGCCUACCUGUACGGACAGGGCCGUAGGCUCGACGAGUACAGGGUGGGUGACCCCGACACGCAGCACGGCGAGGAUGACGAUGUUGGCGAUGACCUCGACGAGGGAUUCGAGGACGUCGAGGACAUCUUCGUGACCGACGCGUACGAUGGUCUCGAAAUGCCACUUCAGACGCCUCUCCCGGCCGCUCCCGUCGGAGUCCCCAGCCUCGCCGCCGCCGGACCUCAGGGACCCGCUACCGCCCGAGUCCCCAGCUCCGCCGACGCUGGGCCUCAGAGUCCCGCCGACGCUGGGCCUCAGAAUCCCGCCGCCGGACCUCAGAGUCCCGCCGCCGCUGCAGCUCCGGGCUCCGCCGCCGCUGCAGCCGCAGCCGCCGUCGCUGGAGCUCCGGGCCCGGCCGCCGCUGCAGCUCCGGGGCCCGCUGCUGCUGCAGCCGCCGCAGCUGCACCUUCAGGACCGGGCUCCGCUACCGCUGCCGCUGCAGCCCCGCGGCCUGCUGCCGCUGCAGCUCCGGGGCCCGCUGCCGCUGCGGCUCGGGGGCCCGCUGCUGCUGCAGCCGCCACAGCUGCUGCUCCGGGGCCCGCUGCAGCCGCAGCCGCCGCAGCUGCAGCCUCGUGGCCCGCCGCCGCUAGAGCUCACAACCUCUCACGGCAUGGUAACCAGCCUCCACCGGCUCCUCCUGCCGUCGACGCUGCCAGCUGGUCACCAGCUGACGCACAGCCGGACCUGGAGGGACGCAGCUCACCCGGCCCUGGUGCAGUAGUGGCCGCCGCUCAGUCGCCCGCCAUCCCACUGACGCCAGACUGGGCAGCCGAGGGUCUUCCGGAGCACGGCGUUUAGCUGCUGUCGGCUCCUCCGACUACCGCCGGAGCCCCUGGCCCGGUCCCUGCCGGCGUCCCGGGCACAGCCACCGCGCCACCCACCGUCGCUGGCUCCGCCACCACCUCAAGUUUCGGGAACCGCGACCCGGCUCGCCAGGACGUGACCGGCCCCGACCACCAGCCGGGGUACGCCGAGUGCCACCGCCUGGCGCAGGUGCUCGUCGGCCUAGACUGCUCGCGGGGGUAUGUCGCCGACGAAGAGGCCGAGUCCAUCGUCCACCUGUGGCACCAGCUAUCCGCCGGCGACAGAGCCAAGGUGGCGGCCUCCCCGCGGUACCAGCACCGGCUGACGACUGGCCGGUUUAAACAGCCGAAGACCAGUCGGCUGUCUGGUGUCGUGCCGGGCGUGCACAGCGCACGGAGAGUCUCACUCAAGCGAGGAGCGGUUCCCGCGCAACGACCCGACUUGAACCGGCUCGCUGAGACGGUCGUCCGCCUGCUCUGCGAGCGGUACCGAAACCCCAGGCGCAGCGGAGGGUCGGUCCAGUCGCGCUGGGCGCAGAUCCUGGCCCACCACUCCAGCCUGCGGGACAUUCUCCUCAAAUGUCCCGCAAUCACCCAGCGGACUGGAGUCAACCUGGCGGCUCUGAACCAGCACACGCUCACGUCCUGGUUCAACGAGCACCAGAAGGAGACGGAGCGGAGAGCUCUUCUCCAGGGCGUGCAGCUGCCGCCAGCCCGUCCGAUCGCCGCAGUCGCCCUGCCAGCACCGGCGCCGCGGCUGAUGCAGGUGCAGGUGGUGCGGGUGGACUGUCGCCGCCCACCGCACCACUUCGUCCUGCCUGCCGACACGGUCGGACAGGCGCAGACCCGCCGUCGCCCGGCCGAGGACACCGGCCACGACACCGCCGCCAAGAGGCCCUACACGCGCCGGCAGCCCACCAACACCUGCGGCCAGUGCAAAGGCGCUCUGACGGCGGACACGGGGCACAGACGGGGGAAGGGCGGCCCAAGCCGAAACAAGGUUUUCUGUCCCGUUGCCAACCCUGAUCUAACAUACGAUCAGUGGUUGGCAAAGUUCAAGUGAGGAGUAUGUCUUGUACCUAUGUAUGUAUGUCUUGUCUAUGUUUUGUGUCCUGUAUGCCUGGCAAGUCCAACGCCAGACACCGGCGGAACUGCUUCAGGGCCGCUCUCUCCGGCCGCAGCUCAGGCGCUGCGGCCCCCCCCCCCCCAUGAUCGCCGCUGGCGCCACCUUUCGGCGCCCCGCCGCCGUCGAUGGGGAGAAAAAUAAACCAGAUCUGACUUCGGAUGCCGUCAUGGUGUUUGUGUGGCGUAGAACAACGACGAUAAUAGCGAGUUAAAACCGCCUGACACUGUUUCAGGGUUUGGCGUUUUUGUUCGUGAAUGUUUGCUUGUUCCUUUGAUACUUAGGUUUACGAUUCCCUUCCUUCGUUUGUUUGUUUGGUCGUUAAACAUUAAAUAUACCAGUGUAUAAUGCAGGCGU
RNAcentral lists this unclassified non-coding RNA (3452 nucleotides) under Amphibalanus amphitrite. RNAcentral describes it as "skin secretory protein xP2-like, transcript variant X1". Lineage: Eukaryota; Metazoa; Arthropoda; Thecostraca; Balanomorpha; Balanidae. The record is from RNAcentral.